Caenorhabditis elegans is the source of this 140-nucleotide non-coding RNA. Lineage: Eukaryota; Metazoa; Nematoda; Chromadorea; Rhabditida; Rhabditidae. The record is from Ensembl.
UCCUCCUCCAUCCACUCCUAAACUGACAGACCCGCACACCUUGUAUAUUGUAAAAACGACAAAACAUUGGAGAGGCGAAGAGGCUGUAAACAUCGGCGAAUGAUGUGGAGGGAAGGGCCUGGGAACGUCAAAGGUGUGUG